GGCCCUAUCGUCUAGUGGUCUAGGACGUGGCCCUCUCAAGGCCAAAACCCGGGUUCAAAUCCCGGUAGGGUCACCU
This 76-nucleotide transfer RNA is filed under the name Gemmataceae bacterium. It matches the Rfam family "tRNA". Rfam says of the family: Transfer RNA (tRNA) molecules are approximately 80 nucleotides in length. Their secondary structure includes four short double-helical elements and three loops (D, anti-codon, and T loops). Lineage: Bacteria; Pseudomonadati; Planctomycetota; Planctomycetia; Gemmatales; Gemmataceae. The record is from RNAcentral.